GUCCAGACUCCUACGGGAGGCAGCAGUGAGGAAUAUUGGUCAAUGGGCUUACGCCUGAACCAGCCAAGUCGCGUGAGGGAAGACUGCCCUAUGGGUUGUAAACCUCUUUAGGCGGGGAGCAAUGCCGGGCACGCGUGCCCGGAGGGAGAGUACCCGCAGAAUAAGCAUCGGCUAACUCCGUGCCAGCAGCCGCGGUAAUACGGAGGAUGCGAGCGUUAUCCGGAUUUAUUGGGUUUAAAGGGUGUGUAGGCGGAUUUUUAAGUCAGCGGUAAAAUGUCCGGGCUCAACCCGGGCCGGCCGUUGAAACUGGGGACCUUGAGUGGGCGAGAAGUAUGCGGAAUGCGUGGUGUAGCGGUGAAAUGCAUAGAUAUCACGCAGAACUCCGAUUGCGAAGGCAGCGCACCGGCGCCCUACUGACGCUCAGGCACGAAAGCGUGGGUAUCGAACAGGAUUAGAUACCCGAGUAGU
RNAcentral lists this ribosomal RNA (468 nucleotides) under uncultured bacterium. RNAcentral describes it as "bacterial SSU rRNA". It matches the Rfam family "Bacterial small subunit ribosomal RNA", at positions 329 to 794 of the family's 1533-position model. The record is from RNAcentral.